Molecule: small nuclear RNA, 58 nt
Filed under: Xenopus borealis (Kenyan clawed frog)
Lineage: Eukaryota; Metazoa; Chordata; Amphibia; Anura; Pipidae
Source: RNAcentral
AGGUGUUACAGCUCUUUUACUAGUUAGCAAGUAGGCUUUUACUCUGACAGAAUCAUAA